RNAcentral lists this unclassified non-coding RNA (243 nucleotides) under uncultured fungus. RNAcentral's name for it is "sequence contains ITS2". Lineage: Eukaryota; Fungi. The record is from RNAcentral.
AACGCACAUUGCGCCCGCUAGUAUUCUGGCGGGCAUGCCUGUUCGAGCGUCAUUUCAACCAUCAAGCCCAGCUUGUGUUGGGGACCUGCGGCUGCCCGCAGGCCCCGAAAACCAGUGGCGGGCUCGCUGUCACUCCGAGCGCAGUAAUACAUCUCGCUCAGGGCGUGCGGUGGGUACCAGCCGUUAAACACCCCCUUAUACAAGGUUGACCUCGGAUCAGGUAGGAAUACCCGCUGAACUUAA